AUGGAAGGCAGCGGAGGAGAAGAAGCCGGCGAUGGCCAGCAAGGCAAGCCCGUCGCGAUGGCCGGUGGCGGAACACGCGACCGUGGUGGAUCUGGAUCUGGAGGCCCUUGCCGUGCUCUGGCAGCCAGGUUCCAUCCUUGUCCGCCCUUGAAGACCAAUCGGGUUCGGCAGAGCGGCGUCGGAGCAAAAUUUUCCAGGUACCUAGAGCUGGUAGAUGGAGCAGGGGCGGUGAAGCCGGUGUCGGGCACGUAG
This 252-nucleotide ribosomal RNA is filed under the name Triticum aestivum (bread wheat). RNAcentral's name for it is "partial small subunit ribosomal RNA". Lineage: Eukaryota; Viridiplantae; Streptophyta; Magnoliopsida; Poales; Poaceae. The record is from RNAcentral.